Molecule: ribosomal RNA, 439 nt
Filed under: uncultured bacterium
Lineage: Bacteria
Description: partial 16S ribosomal RNA
Rfam family: Bacterial small subunit ribosomal RNA
Source: RNAcentral
CCUACGGGUGGCAGCAGUGGGGAAUAUUGCACAAUGGGGGAAACCCUGAUGCAGCGACGCCGCGUGAGUGAAGAAGGAACUCGUUAUGUAAAGCUCUUUCAGCAGGGAAGAAAAUGACGGUACCUGAGUAAGAAGCCCCGGCUAACUACGUGCCAGUAGCCGCGGCAAUACGAAGGGGGCGAGCGUUAUCCGGAUUUACAGGGUGUAAAGGGAGCGUAGACGGCAGUGAAAGUCUGGGGUGAAAGGCGGGGGCUCAACCCCGGACUGCUCUGGAAACUGUACGGCUUGAGUGCAGGAGAGGUAAGUGGAAUUCCUAGUGUAGCGGUGAAAUGCGUAGAUAUUAGGAGGAACACCAGUGGCGAAGGCGGCUUACUGGACUGUAACUGACGUUGAGGCUCGAAAGCGUGGGGAGCAAACAGGAUUAGAUACCCUUGUAGUC